RNAcentral lists this ribosomal RNA (253 nucleotides) under uncultured bacterium. RNAcentral describes it as "partial 16S ribosomal RNA". It matches the Rfam family "Bacterial small subunit ribosomal RNA", at positions 524 to 776 of the family's 1533-position model. The record is from RNAcentral.
UACGUAGGGGGCAAGCGUUGUCCGGAUUUAUUGGGCGUAAAGAGCGUGUAGGCGGCCAAGCAGGUCCGCUGUGAAAACUCGAGGCUCAACCUCGAGACGUCGGUGGAAACCGUAUGGCUAGAGUCCGGAAGAGGAGAGUGGAAUUCCCGGUGUAGCGGUGAAAUGCGCAGAUAUCGGGAAGAACACCCGUGGCGAAGGCGGCUCUCUGGGACGGUACUGACGCUGAGACGCGAAAGCGUGGGGAGCGAACAGG